CAUAAACACAAAGGUUUGGUCCUAGCCUUACUGUUAACUUUUAGCAGGAUUACACAUGCAAGUAUCCGCAUUCCAGUGAGGACGCCCUUCAAAUCAUCAGCUGAUAAGAAGGAGCGGGUAUCAAGCACACUAUUACAUGUAGCUCAAGACGCCUUGCCUAGCCACACCCCCACGGGAUACAGCAGUGAUAAAAAUUAAGCCAUGAACGAAAGUUUGACUAAGCCAUACUAAUCUAGGGUUGGUAAAUUUCGUGCCAGCCACCGCGGCCAUACGAUUAACCCGAGUUAACAGACACACGGCGUAAAGCGUGUUUAGAAACCCCACCCAAUAAAGUUAAAUCUAAACUAUGCCGUAGAAAGCUCUAGUUCAGACAAAAAUAAACCACGAAGGUGACUUUAAACACUUUGACACACGAUAGCUGAGACACAAACUGGGAUUAGAUACCCCACUAUGCUCAGUCCUAAACCUAAGUAGUUAUUUCAACAAUGCUACUCGCCAGAGUACUACUAGCAACAGCUUAAAACUCAAAGGACUUGGCGGUGCUUUAUAUCCCUCUAGAGGAGCCUGUUCUGUAAUCGAUAAACCCCGAUAAACCUCACCAGCCCUUGCUAAUGCAGCCUAUAUACCGCCAUCUUCAGCGAACCCUAAGAAGGAGUCACAGUAAGCCAAACCAUACAACAUAAAAACGUUAGGUCAAGGUGUAGCCCAUGAGCUGGGAAGAAAUGGGCUACAUUUUCUAAUAUAGAACAUAACGAAACUUUUCGUGAAACCGAAAACGGAAGGAGGAUUUAGUAGUAAAUUAAGAAUAGAGAGCUUAAUUGAAUAAGGCCAUGAAGCACGCACACACCGCCCGUCACCCUCCUCAAGUACCCAAAUACAAUUAACUAACUUUAUUAACAAAUGUAUCCAUAUACAAGAGGAGAUAAGUCGUAACAAGGUAAGCGUACUGGAAAGUGCGCUUGGACAAU
This 968-nucleotide non-coding RNA is filed under the name Megaloglossus woermanni (Woermann's bat). RNAcentral describes it as "partial 12S ribosomal RNA". It matches the Rfam family "Bacterial small subunit ribosomal RNA". The record is from RNAcentral. Lineage: Eukaryota; Metazoa; Chordata; Mammalia; Chiroptera; Pteropodidae.